RNAcentral lists this microRNA precursor (203 nucleotides) under Oryza brachyantha (malo sina). Its description in RNAcentral is "MIR812 microRNA precursor family". It matches the Rfam family "MIR812 microRNA precursor family". The record is from Rfam by way of RNAcentral. Lineage: Eukaryota; Viridiplantae; Streptophyta; Magnoliopsida; Poales; Poaceae.
AAUAAGUUUAUUUUUCAGUUUUUAGAUACAAUAUUUAGCUCUUCGUCUUAUUUGAAAUUUUUUCGAUUACUAUUUUUAUUGUUACUAGAUGAUAAAACAUGAAUAUACUUUAUAUGUCGCUAAUUUUUUAAAAUUUUUGUAUAAUUUUUUAAAUAAGACGAAUGGUUAAACUUUGGAUAUAGAAAUCGAAAAAUGAGAUCAUU